Anas platyrhynchos (mallard) is the source of this 2200-nucleotide non-coding RNA. The record is from RefSeq and is a predicted model, not a curated record. NCBI's taxonomy places the organism in Eukaryota, Metazoa, Chordata, Aves, Anseriformes, Anatidae.
GGGCCGCGCCGGGGCCGCGCUGCCGCCGGGGGCCGCGGGGGGGCGGCCGGAGCGCGCUGCCCGCCCCCGGGGCCGCCCCCGGCUGCAGCCUGCAGCAAAGGGUUUAAUGGGGUCCAGGUACGCCGGCGGUGGUGCCGCUCCGGACUGCCUCGCCUUUGGUGUUCCGAGGUUUGUUAUCGGAGCCGGAUCUGCCUCCAGGUCAGCCGAAACCCCGCCUAGUGAGGGUAGGAAAGGCAGCACUGGGAAAGCUUCCUGGAACUCAGGCGUGGAAAACACACAGGGAACUAACGCCAUCACACCCAAGCAAGGUUAUCGUGUGGCACGAGGUCCUAGAGAAGACUUAAUGGAAAGUGGAAGCAGGAUGGAGAAUUGUGACAGAAUUGCCCCCGUCCCAGCUACCGCUGUUGUCUGCAGAAGGAUGCAGCUCAUAUUUACCCGCUGGGAUGGCCAGUGGUUCCUGUGCUGCCUGUCCUGACCCUAUGGCACAACCAAACGCCGUCCCGUUUUCUGUUAUUUUUCCUCAGAGCGGGUUGCUGCUGCCUGGUUGCGCAAGGUGUGCAGCCAGCGCAAGGAGAAACACUGGUGGCUGUGGUCAGGAGAGGAAACGAGGCUGGGACCACAGCGGCUGUGAUUUACGUACCCUUACCUCGCUGUGGAACAAAACCACUAAUGAUUUCAGCCCUCCCAUCAGCCCAGUGCCAUGCCACCUGCGUAUCAGGACAGCACAGUCCAGAGCAAGGCUUCUGUGCGAGCUGCCUGCCCACAUCUGCCAGCAGCCUUCCCAGUGAGGGCGCGCAGCUUUGGUGGGCAGGCUGCAGAUCCCACAGACGUGGGCUCCAUCACCCGUGUCCCCAGGGUGCCUGGCCUCCAUCCCGGCUGGAUUCUUCCCUUGUCCAGGCCCAUCGUUCUCUCCAGGUGGAGGAACUGGACAACGAGUAUGGGUAAACGUUUCCAUAGGCCUUUCAUUAAAGGUCUUGUGGGCCGGAAUCAAAGAGAGCAGAAAUGUCUCCAGAUUUUGGAAGAGUUACUGCAGUUCUCAAGGUCCAGUUGUACCCUCUCCUUUAGUUGCUUAAAUUGCAAUUAGCAUGUGUCUUCUGGACCGUCAGCUUGGAGGGCCCGUUCUUUAAUGGAAAAGUUGUAUUGGUUAUUGUAAAAAAAAAACAAAACUGAACUGCAGCUGAGCCGAUUCUGAGGGCUGACUUUUGGCUGAACCAGUUUCUGCGCCUUUGGAUGUUAUUCAGCAGAGGUUGUGUUAUGAGUUCUGAGCAGAAGUGGCAAACAAGCCUUAUGAAAUACACAUUUUUCCACUUAAAAUCAUCAUCCCGCAGCUGGUAAGAAUUGAUUUUUUAGCAUUUUAAAUAUUGUGCCUGAUUUACCCAGUGCAGCAUGCCAGUUCUGUGCCGGUGUAAGCCUUGAUCCCAGAGGAGUUGUAGCAGUGAGAAGUGAACUCACUGAUGAGCCAAGCCCCAGAUGUCGCAGAAGAAUCCUCACGUUGGUCACAAGGAGCGUCCUGGCAUGCAUCUCUCACUUAGCAAUAGAGCUUUGUUUAGCUGUUUUAAUUCUUCAGAAUUUCUGUGUUACUGUACAACAAGUACGUUUAAUGAAACUUGACAUCUUGCUUUUUAUUUGUAGGUAGGAAGGACGUUACCUCUGAUGCGUUCAUAAGACAGGAGUGGAUCGGAUGCCAGCCCACUCAAGGUAAAAAUGCUGCGAAUCCCUUUUUGAUGCCCAUGUUUUCCAUACAUUUCAACAAUGAAGUGGCUUGUAUAGGACUGAUGCAAAGAUCACUGAAGUCGCACAGCUCUUUGUUAAGUCCUUGUGGUUUAAUUUGGCAUCGUGGUUGACAACAGAAGCUUUUUGCCAAUAUUUUAAGAUCAAGAGUGUUUUACUUUUAUAAAAGUCUGCUUAUUGUAUGAGUUUCUAGAGUGCAUUAUGUAACUAAGGCUGGAGCACGUUUGGUAAAUAUUUAGAAGAGAACUGUCUUGCUUUUCAUCCUUGUGCUCAAAUUCAUUUACCCAGGUUUCCUCCUCCAGCCCCAUUUCCACUCACCUCUCAGGGGCAGCAAAAGCUGCACAUUACAUUUAUGCCCUCAAAUUGGAUUGUGGGAUGCUGUAACAUCAUCUUCUGAUUUCUUCACGUUAACAUUUUAUUUCAUAUAAUGUAUUUCUGAAUAAUUUAUAAUUAAAGUGCUUUUUUUUAC